CAGCAACCUCAGUUUUUUCCUGGAGUCUCGCAUCCAGGCAUUUCUUUGUUGGAGUUUAGCAACUACUGUAAGGUCUGCCUGUGCUGGACUGUGAAGAACUAGGGAUGUGCUGCUGUGUUGCUGUUCCUCAGUCUGGUCACCCUCAGCACAGGGAGAGUGGUCAGGGUGAGAGGCCGAGGUCAGCCGAGGGGAUGACCAGUGAUGUCCUGAGGCUGUUCUCAGGCCGCGGAGAAGGAGAUGACCGUUUCCUGGUUGAUCGGCGCAGGACAGCAGACGCUAAGGACAGCCCUCCGUUAGUGCAGACACCUCCUGCAUGGACUCUUCCUUUCAUGUCUGCGUUCCUUCAGUCCCAUCCUUGAGGGCGAAAUCAGCUUCUUCUACAGUCACCAGGGUUGUGAAACCGCCAGGAAGGCGGCACGUCAGCAGUUUCCGUAGAAGCGAGGGGGGCCGCCAGGAAGCGCAGUUACAACCUUGGCCAGCAGGGGGAGUCUUUCAGUCAUGCAGCGGUUUUUCCAUCCGUCCUUCUAAAAUCUGAAAUCAAUUAUUAUUCCUGGGAAAGGUUGCAGCUGCUGGAGCUUAUCCCUGGGUUGGGUUGUUUUUAUUAUUAAAAGCAAUUAACCUGUCA
Long non-coding RNA from Lepisosteus oculatus (spotted gar), 625 nucleotides. RefSeq lists it as uncharacterized. Lineage: Eukaryota; Metazoa; Chordata; Actinopteri; Semionotiformes; Lepisosteidae. The record is from RefSeq and is a predicted model, not a curated record.